Molecule: ribosomal RNA, 206 nt
Filed under: uncultured bacterium
Lineage: Bacteria
Description: partial 16S ribosomal RNA
Rfam family: Bacterial small subunit ribosomal RNA
Source: RNAcentral
GGAUUGCAGGCUGCAACCCGCCUGUAUGAAGUUGGAAUCGCUAGUAAUCGCGGAUCAGCAUGCCGCGGUGAAUACGUUCCCGGGCCUUGUACACACCGCCCGUCACACCAUGAGAGUCGGGAACACCCGAAGUCCGUAGCCUAACCGCAAGGAGGGCGCGGCCGAAGGUGGGUUCGAUAAUUGGGGUGAAGUCGUAACAAGGUAAC